AACGCUGGCGGUAGGCUUAACACAUGCAAGUCGUGCGAGAAAGUAUCUUCGGAUAUGAGUAGAGCGGCGGACGGGUGAGUAACGCGUAGGAAUCUACCUAGUAGAAGGGGAUAGCCCGGGGAAACUCGGAUUAAUACCGUAUACCUCCUUCGGGAGAAAGAAGGCCUCUCUUUGAAGCUUUCGCUAUUAGAUGAGCCUGCGUAAGAUUAGCUUGUUGGUGAGGUAAAGGCUCACCAAGGCGACGAUCUUUAGCGGGUCUGAGAGGACGAUCCGCCACAUUGGGACUGAGACACGGCCCAGACUCCUACGGGAGGCAGCAGUGGGGAAUAUUGGACAAUGGGCGCAAGCCUGAUCCAGCCAUACCGCGUGUGUGAAGAAGGCCCUAGGGUUGUAAAGCACUUUAAGUUGGAAGAAAAGUUAUUGGUUAAUAUCCAAUAACCGUGACAUUACCAUCAGAAUAAGGACCGG
This 468-nucleotide ribosomal RNA is filed under the name uncultured Pseudomonadota bacterium. RNAcentral describes it as "bacterial SSU rRNA". It matches the Rfam family "Bacterial small subunit ribosomal RNA", at positions 32 to 496 of the family's 1533-position model. The record is from RNAcentral. Lineage: Bacteria; Pseudomonadati; Pseudomonadota.